This 211-nucleotide unclassified non-coding RNA is filed under the name Glomeromycotina sp. RNAcentral describes it as "partial contains 5.8S ribosomal RNA and internal transcribed spacer 2". The stretch from base 1 to 71 matches the Rfam family "5.8S ribosomal RNA", at positions 84 to 154 of the family's 154-position model. Lineage: Eukaryota; Fungi; Glomeromycota. The record is from RNAcentral.
GUGAAUCAUCAAAUUUUUGAACGCAAAUUGCACUCUCUGGUAUUACGAUGAGUAUGUCUGUUUGAGGGUCAGAAUAUAUAAAUAUCGGUGUGGUUGCGGCCUUUCGUGGUGACGCACCGGAUUUGUGUAGUCUUGUCUUCGUUUAAGACACCUAAAAUUCUGCAGGAUUUUUUCGAACGUAUUUAAAUGAUUUUACGUACGUUUUCGAUAU